AAGUCGUAACAAGGUUUCCGUAGGUGAACCUGCGGAAGGAUCAUUACCUGGCCUAGGCCGCUGCUUGCCAGUGCGCUGCUUGAAGCCUAUUACCCUGUCUAUGUGCACCUUUUGUUGUUCCCUCGGCAGCUUGCUGCCGCUGGGACCCCUAAACCCUUUGUAUUAAGCAUCAUUCUUCUGAUAAAACCCAAUUAUUUACAACUUUCAACAAUGGAUCUCUUGGUUCUGG
This 229-nucleotide unclassified non-coding RNA is filed under the name Keissleriella taminensis. Its description in RNAcentral is "partial internal transcribed spacer region". The stretch from base 1 to 46 matches the Rfam family "Eukaryotic small subunit ribosomal RNA", at positions 1786 to 1831 of the family's 1831-position model. Lineage: Eukaryota; Fungi; Ascomycota; Dothideomycetes; Pleosporales; Lentitheciaceae. The record is from RNAcentral.